This 253-nucleotide ribosomal RNA is filed under the name uncultured bacterium. RNAcentral's name for it is "partial 16S ribosomal RNA". It matches the Rfam family "Bacterial small subunit ribosomal RNA", at positions 524 to 776 of the family's 1533-position model. The record is from RNAcentral.
UACGUAUGGUGCAAGCGUUAUCCGGAUUUACUGGGUGUAAAGGGAGCGUAGGCGGCGCGUUAAGUCUGAUGUGAAAACCCGUGGCUCAACCACGGGAGUGCAUUGGAAACUGGCGGGCUGGAGUGCCGGAGAGGUAAGCGGAAUUCCUAGUGUAGCGGUGAAAUGCGUAGAUAUUAGGAGGAACACCAGUGGCGAAGGCGGCUUACUGGACGGCAACUGACGCUGAGGCUCGAAAGCGUGGGGAGCAAACAGG